Molecule: ribosomal RNA, 218 nt
Filed under: Staphylococcus aureus
Lineage: Bacteria; Bacillati; Bacillota; Bacilli; Caryophanales; Staphylococcaceae
Description: partial 16S ribosomal RNA
Rfam family: Bacterial small subunit ribosomal RNA
Source: RNAcentral
CCGUGGAGGGUCAUUGGAAACUGGAAAACUUGAGUGCAGAAGAGGAAAGUGGAAUUCCAUGUGUAGCGGGGAAAUGCGCAGAGAUAUGGAGGAACACCAGUGGCGAAGGCGACUUUCUGGUCUGUAACUGACGCUGAUGUGCGAAAGCGUGGGGAUCAAACAGGAUUAGAUACCCUGGUAGUCCACGCCGUAAACGAUGAGUGCUAAGUGUUAGGGGG